This 450-nucleotide ribosomal RNA is filed under the name Trachelospermum axillare. RNAcentral describes it as "eukaryotic LSU rRNA". The stretch from base 310 to 450 matches the Rfam family "Eukaryotic large subunit ribosomal RNA", at positions 1 to 141 of the family's 3401-position model. Lineage: Eukaryota; Viridiplantae; Streptophyta; Magnoliopsida; Gentianales; Apocynaceae. The record is from RNAcentral.
UGCAGAAUCCCGUGAACCAUCGAGUUUUUGAACGCAAGUUGCGCCCGAAGCCAUUAGGCCAAGGGCACGUCUGCCUGGGCGUCACGCAUAGCGUCGUCCCCCCACCCCUGUGGUGUCGGGGCGGAAAAUGGCAUCCCGUGGUCUGUCGCGGCCUGCCUAAACCCGUGUCCCUCGUCGCGGACGUCACGACAAGUGGUGGUUGAAAUCCUCAACUCGAAUGCGAGUCGUGCGCACCUCGUGGCUGAGACGACACGUAAUAGACCCUGAGACGAUGAACCCCYUCCGAGGGAGGAGCAUUCGUCACGACCGCGACCCCAGGUCAGGCGGGGCUACCCGCUGAGUUUAAGCAUAUCAAUAAGCGGAGGAAAAGAAACUAACAAGGAUUCCCUUAGUAACGGCGAGCGAACCGGGAACAGCCCAAGCUUAGAAUCGGGCGGCUUCGCUGUCCGA